AGAGAGAGACAUGCGCGCAUAUCAAUAAGCGGAGGAAAAGAAACUAACUAGGAUUCCCUCAGUAACGGCGAGUGAAGCGGGAAGAGCUCAAAUUUGAAAUCUUCAAGGGUUCUACCUUGACGAAUUGUAGUUUAAAGAAGUGUUUUCUGUUGGAGUUUUGGUAAAAGUUCUUUGGAAUAGGACAUCAUAGAGGGUGAGAAUCCCGUAUUUGACCAUUAUUUCCAGCUUUGUGAUACACUUUCAAAGAGUCGGAUUGUUUGGGAAUGCAGUCCAAAAUGGGUGGUAAAUUUCAUCUAAAGCUAAAUAUUGGCGAGAGACCGAUAGCGAACAAGUACCGUGAGGGAAAGAUGAAAAGAACUUUGAAAAGAGAGUUAAACAGUACGUGAAAUUGUCAAAAGGGAAGCGUUUGACACCAGUGUUGUUUUCUCGAAAAUCAAUUAAAAAAGGCAGGAUUUUGCGUUGUAUUGACUUUAUCAGCUUUCUGCACUCUUUUCUUGUCUUUUUUUAAUGCACUUUUCGUUUAACAAGUCAACAUCAAUUUCUUUUGUUGUAAAAGGGUCAUUGGAAGGUGGCUUUCUUUUCGGAGAAAGUGUUUAUAGCCUUUGGCCUCUGCAAUCGGAGAGAUUGAGGUCUGCAGCGUAGAUCCUUCGGGGUUAGAUACAUUUGUGCUAAGUUAUAGCCUUUCAUAGACAACUUGUUGACUAUGACCAGUCAUGUAGCUUACUCGCUUAUGCUAUUUUACCUACGCUUAGGAUGUUGAUGUGAUACUGCGAGCA
RNAcentral lists this ribosomal RNA (776 nucleotides) under uncultured Neocallimastigales. RNAcentral describes it as "partial large subunit ribosomal RNA". It matches the Rfam family "Eukaryotic large subunit ribosomal RNA", at positions 23 to 646 of the family's 3401-position model. The record is from RNAcentral. Lineage: Eukaryota; Fungi; Neocallimastigomycota; Neocallimastigomycetes; Neocallimastigales.